Oncorhynchus keta (chum salmon) is the source of this 566-nucleotide long non-coding RNA. RefSeq lists it as uncharacterized. NCBI's taxonomy places the organism in Eukaryota, Metazoa, Chordata, Actinopteri, Salmoniformes, Salmonidae. The record is from RefSeq and is a predicted model, not a curated record. The transcript has 3 exons.
ACAUGGCUAUAUAUACAGGGUACCAGUACUGAGUCGAUGUGCAGGGUAUGAGGUAAUAACAUGGCUAUAUAUACAGGGUACCAGUACUGAGUCGAUGUGCAGGGUAUGAGGUAAUAACAUGGCUAUAUAUACAGGGUACCAGUACUGAGUCGAUGUGCAGGGUAUGAGGUAAUAACAUGGUUAUAUAUACAGGGUACCAGUACUGAGUCGAUGUGCAGGGUAUGAGGUAAUAACAUGGCUAUAUAUACAGGGUACCAGUACUGAGUUGAUGUGCAGGGUAUGAGGUAAUAACAUGGUUAUAUAUACAGGGUACCAGUACUGAGUCGAUGUGCAGGGUAUGAGGUAAUAACAUGGUUAUAUAUACAGGGUACCAGUACUGAGUCGAUGUGCAGGGUAUGAGGUAAUAACAUGGUUAUAUAUACAGGGUACCAGUACUGAGUCGAUGUGCAGGGUAUGAGGUAAUAACAUGGUUAUAUAUACAGGGUACCAGUACUGAGUCGAUGUGCAGGGUAUGAGGUAAUAACAUGGCUAUAUAUACAGGGUACCAGUACUGAGUCGAUGUGCAG